CCUACGGGCGGCAGCAGUGGGGAAUAUUGCACAAUGGGCGCAAGCCUGAUGCAGCCAUGCCGCGUGUGUGAAGAAGGCCUUCGGGUUGUAAAGCACUUUCAGCGGGGAGGAAGGCGGUGAGGUUAAUAACCUCAUCGAUUGACGUUACCCGCAGAAGAAGCACCGGCUAACUCCGUGCCAGCAGCCGCGGUAAUACGGAGGGUGCAAGCGUUAAUCGGAAUUACUGGGCGUAAAGCGCACGCAGGCGGUCUGUCAAGUCGGAUGUGAAAGCCCCGGGCUCAACCUGGGAACUGCAUUCGAAACUGGCAGGCUAGAGUCGUGUAGAGGGGGGUAGAAUUCCAUGUGUAGCGGGGAAAUGCGUAGAGAUCUGGAGGAAUACCGGUGGCGAAGGCGGCCCCCUGGACAAAGACUGACGCUCAGGUGCGAAAGCGUGGGGAGCAAACAGGAUUAGAUACCCCGGUAGUC
This 465-nucleotide ribosomal RNA is filed under the name uncultured Klebsiella sp. Its description in RNAcentral is "bacterial SSU rRNA". It matches the Rfam family "Bacterial small subunit ribosomal RNA", at positions 338 to 795 of the family's 1533-position model. The record is from RNAcentral. Lineage: Bacteria; Pseudomonadati; Pseudomonadota; Gammaproteobacteria; Enterobacterales; Enterobacteriaceae.